Molecule: long non-coding RNA, 752 nt
Filed under: Lonchura striata (white-rumped munia)
Lineage: Eukaryota; Metazoa; Chordata; Aves; Passeriformes; Estrildidae
Description: domestica (Bengalese finch) lncRNA (ENSLSDG00000015525.1)
Source: RNAcentral
CUGCUGUUUCCAACAGGCACAACUACACCCACACCAAGCACACCAAUAUCGAUAAUCACUACCUCGCCCUCAGAGACUACCACCACUAGCACCAGCCCUCCAAGCACAACAGCAACAACCACAACAACGGUUACUGGAUCACCAACAACUAUCUCAACUCCUGGAAGCACACCUCCAUCCACACCAAGCACAACAUCCAGUACAUCAGAAUCGCCAACCUCUCACUUGCCAUCAGAGACUCCCACCACCACUGCCAGCACCACGAUGCCCCCCAGCAGCACCACCAGCAUCAGCACUCCGAGCACAACAACUGUUACUGAAUCAUCAACACCCACGUCAACUACUCCAAGCACAUCCACGCCCACACCAACAUACACCACCACCACAACUUCAGGCACAACUACACCCACACCAAGCACAACAAAAUCAACAACCACUACCCUGCCACCGGAGACUACCACCUCCACCACCAGCCCUCCAAGCACAACAACCACUGUUCCUGAAUCAACAACAACCAUCUCAACUCCUCAAACCCCACCUACAAGCACACCAGGUACACCAACUACUCCCACUCCAACAGCAUCUGAAACUCCCAACAUCACUUCCAGCACCACAAUGCCUCCCAGCAGCACCACCAGCAUCAGCACCCCUAGGACAACAACAACAACUGUUACUGGCUCAUCAACAACCUUCUCAACUACUUCAAGCACAUCCACACCCAUAUCGAGAUAUACAACCACCGUACCAACUCC